Molecule: long non-coding RNA, 354 nt
Organism: Anguilla anguilla (European eel)
Lineage: Eukaryota; Metazoa; Chordata; Actinopteri; Anguilliformes; Anguillidae
Exons: 3
Source: RefSeq, a predicted model, not a curated record
GUAUAGAUAAUGCAUGGAUGGAUGGACAUUCACGAGAAUAGACAGACAGAGGACGUGCUCAUCAGUGGUUAUCCGAGAGCCUGAGUCCUCAUCUGCCUGGAAAAUGAAGACGGGCAAGCCCUUGCUUCACAUUUAGGCUGCUGUGGUCACCGGGCAGUACCCCUGUCCACUAAGCCAUCUGCUUCUGGAAUCGAAGUCUGACAGAGUAUCAGGGGCAGUUAGCCCACUGAGCGCUGGCUCUUUGUCAGUCAGGAAGUGGAGAGACGGGGUUGUGGGAGUGACAACGUGUGCAUUGUAGGACAUCACUGUGAGGCAGCCCAGAGGAAGCACUGCCAUACCACGACUCAUAGUCUA